Long non-coding RNA from Strigops habroptila (Kakapo), 1025 nucleotides. RefSeq lists it as uncharacterized. The transcript is spliced from 2 exons. Lineage: Eukaryota; Metazoa; Chordata; Aves; Psittaciformes; Psittacidae. The record is from RefSeq and is a predicted model, not a curated record.
GGCACUGCGGGAGCGGAGCACCGGGGGUAGGGGGGCGGUCGGUGGUGCCGCCGCCGUGAGGCGCUUGAGCCCGGCGCGGAGCUUCCCCCGCGGUUCCAGCCGGCGGCCGCGGCGCAGACUUGUAAAACUCCAUUUGCAAAAAUCUGCUACUGGGGGAGGAGAGGAGCAGAGGCACGAGGAGCUCCUCACGUCGGGCGUCGUCUGGCGCUAGUGGUAAGAUCCAGGGAUCCGAGCCCUGCCUUCGGCAACCGCCGGCCGCAGAGGGACGAGGGAGGGAAGGAAGGAAGCAAAGGGGGGGGCGCAGGACACCCCCCCCCGGCAGCCCCACGCUGGGCUGCCUAAAGUGCAUCUGGUUUCUUUUUUGUUUUUCUUUCAUUAAAAAAAUAAGAGGAAUAAAACUUUCUUCUUUCUCAAGGGACGUCGGGGGCAGGGGAGGGGGGAACGGGUCGGGCAGAUCCCGGCUCAUCCCGGAGGAUCCAGGGCUGUUCCAGCAUCGACCCGCCGGCACGUUCUGCUGGUUCCAACACCGCCUCCAAGAUGCUGUUCCCCUCUUCCCAUCUCGGCUUGAUCCAAGAGAGCCGUUCCAGCGCCGGGCUGCAGGGCCUGACCGGCUCCGCGACGGCUCCAGCCUCUCCCUCCGAGCCACGGGGGUUGGCAUCUCCCACCGGGAAUGCUGUCCCGGCGCGGCAUCAGCUCCUGUACCGUCAGCGCUCGCUCCCGCUUCCGUCUUUUUGGAUUUUCUAGGAUUUUUUUUUUUUUUGCUAUUUUUAUGGGUUUUUUUUCUUUUUUGGAAGCUUUUCGUUGGGCUCCCAAGAGGAGCCGGCGAAGGGGUCACCCGGAGCCACCGCCGCUCCCCCGGCACCCGGGGCCCAUUCCGUGCCCCUCGCCCCCACAGCGGCCGGGCACGAGAAUUCCCAUGUUCAUCCCUUUGCGGGGGGAGGGGAGGUGGGAAUAUGGACGUGAAGCGUUUCCAGCAUUCCCGGCGCUCCGCACAUGGCGGGUAUUUACAUGGCGUUUGGGCGCUA